UCCAAAUGAAGCGUGUUUUCAUUGCCAUAUUAUUAAUUGGCAUUUUAUGCCAUCAAGUUUUCAGCGCCGAAUUUGAAAUUUAAAUUUGAUUUUGAUAUCUGAACAAAAUAAGGAUUUGAGUGAAGAAUUGAUGCUUAAAGUAAUCGCCAAAGUGAACAAAGCUAUUGAUGAAACGACUUCGUUUGCUGACAUUCCUGUUGUAUUAAAAAAGGUCAAAGAUGAGGCAUUAACAACGUAUGACGAGCAAAAAAAGGGGCGAAUGGUCAUUAGUUGACAACGACAUACGUGAAGAGGUCAACAAAGCUUUGAAUCGCUUAAACAGCACAUACCACAAAACGUUGGUGCACUAUAAUAAUGCGCUGAAUUUUUAUAAAUCCUACAUAACAAUAUUUCGGAUAACACUUUUUCCGCAUAUGAGGCAACCAAGAGUAGAACACUUGCGCAGGUUUGAUUUGUACAUAAUCACACUGAUUCUAAUCGUAUAUGUUUCUCGUGAAUAGUUUUUACAUAAAUCAAAUAGCGGAAACAUUUCCGACAAUGAGCUUGUACGUUCAUUUGUUCAAAAACUCGAAAAAUACAUAGACAGCUAUUUUUGGGCAAACAUUUCUCUCACGACAAUAGAAGCUAAUGUAAUAAAAUCAAAUGAUACAUCAACUUCAACCGAAAGUAUAUCAACUGUGGGAACUAAUACAGCAAAGCAAAAAGGAAAUACAACAAACUGAUAUGCGUCCUUAUCUUGACGAUAAGUAACACUAAUUUCGAAAGACAAAAAUAAACAUCCGCAACAAUAAUUUGACUAA
Long non-coding RNA from Contarinia nasturtii (swede midge), 800 nucleotides. RefSeq lists it as uncharacterized. The record is from RefSeq and is a predicted model, not a curated record. Lineage: Eukaryota; Metazoa; Arthropoda; Insecta; Diptera; Cecidomyiidae. The transcript has 2 exons.